Molecule: ribosomal RNA, 249 nt
Filed under: uncultured bacterium
Lineage: Bacteria
Description: partial 16S ribosomal RNA
Rfam family: Bacterial small subunit ribosomal RNA
Source: RNAcentral
GCAAGUCGAACGGAAACAGCAGUGCUUGCACUGGCUGUCGAGUGGCGAACGGGUGAGUAAAGUAUAGUUAAUUUGCCUCUUGGAGAGGGAUAGCCAUUGGAAACGAUGAUUAAUACCUCAUACUCCUUUCUUCGUAAAGUUGAAAGGGAAAUGCUUUAGUGCCAAGAGAUAAGACUAUAUGGUAUCAGGUAGUUGGUGGGGUAAGAGCCUACCAAGCCAAUGACGCCUAGCUGGUCUGAGAGGAUGAUC